This 159-nucleotide unclassified non-coding RNA is filed under the name uncultured Alatospora. RNAcentral describes it as "sequence contains ITS1". The record is from RNAcentral. Lineage: Eukaryota; Fungi; Ascomycota.
AAGAGUUUAUGGACUUCGGUCUACUACUCCACCCUUUGUUUACAAUACCAUUGUUGCUUUGGCAGGCCCGUCGAAAGACAACCGGCUUCGGCUGGUCAGUGCCUGCCAGAGGACCUAAAACUCUUGAUUUAUUAUUGUCUGAGUACUAUAUAAUAGUUA